Long non-coding RNA from Solanum pennellii, 705 nucleotides. RefSeq lists it as uncharacterized. The record is from RefSeq and is a predicted model, not a curated record. Lineage: Eukaryota; Viridiplantae; Streptophyta; Magnoliopsida; Solanales; Solanaceae. The transcript is spliced from 4 exons.
UAUCUUUCCACUAUCCUUAUUCCAAAAAUUACCCAGAAUUAUCUCCUUCAAUUAAUUGCACAAAAUUGCUCUCACACUAUCUUCAUUCUAGAAAUUACUCUCUCACUUAUCUUCGUUUCUUCAGGUAUCUUGCAGGUCUCUUGGAUAUGCUCCAGCUCCUACAUCCUUUAGUUCAAUGUCCAGUUCUGUCAAUGUGCUCUCAUAUAGAGAACGAGCAUUGAAUGAGCAAUCACUGCACCACCAAUUUACAAAUAUUCUGUUUGCUCAAUAUCCACAAUAUAUUUUUCUCCCUUUUGAUAUCCAGGAGCUAACAACCUUGAUAUUCCAAAGGCAACUUGAGCCCCAUAAGAUAUUUUUACAGCAACGAAUUGAGCGCUAGGUAUUCGAGAUUGACUAUGCAAAGGCUUUGAAGUCAACUUUGAUAUCGGUAACUUCAUACAUACGGGGACUCUUCAUGAUUGACAAAACUCCAUGAUAUUACUGCCUGGGAUUGGACUAUAACAACAAUCACAUGUGUUGCACUAAUAAAAAGCUUGGUGGCUUGUUUGGAAGGAGGAGUUCAAUUCAGUCCCUGCUCUGAGGAAGGCAAUUAUAUAAGUUUACGGUCCUAUUCUAUCUGUAGCUUACUGGUGUACCAUUAUUACUAAUCGUUUUGCUCUUGCUAAUCAUUUUUGCUCUGAAAAUAGCCAAAUUUUCUAAUUUCUA